RNAcentral lists this ribosomal RNA (467 nucleotides) under uncultured bacterium. Its description in RNAcentral is "partial 16S ribosomal RNA". It matches the Rfam family "Bacterial small subunit ribosomal RNA", at positions 28 to 507 of the family's 1533-position model. The record is from RNAcentral.
GACGAACGCUGGCGGCGUGCUUAACACAUGCAAGUCGAACGGAAAGGCCUCUUUCGGGGGGUACUCGAGUGGCGAACGGGUGAGUAACACGUGAGUAACCUGCCCUUGACUUUGGGAUAACUUCAGGAAACUGGGGCUAAUACCGGAUAGGAGCUCCUGCUGCAUGGUGGGGGUUGGAAAGUUUCGGCGGUUGGGGAUGGACUCGCGGCUUAUCAGCUUGUUGGUGGGGUAGUGGCUUACCAAGGCUUUGACGGGUAGCCGGCCUGAGAGGGUGAACGGCCACAUUGGGACUGAGAUACGGCCCAGACUCCUACGGGAGGCAGCAGUGGGGAAUAUUGCACAAUGGGUGGAAGCCUGAUGCAGCAACGCCGUGGGCGGGAGGACGGCCUUCGGGUUGUAAACCGCUUUCGCUCAUGACGAAGCUUUGUGUGACGGUAGUGGGUAAAGAAGCACCGGCUAACUACGUG